RNAcentral lists this long non-coding RNA (1451 nucleotides) under Macaca fascicularis (crab-eating macaque). RNAcentral describes it as "lncRNA (ENSMFAG00000048452.1)". Lineage: Eukaryota; Metazoa; Chordata; Mammalia; Primates; Cercopithecidae. The record is from RNAcentral.
AUGAGCUCCUCCCCCUCCCCUGCCCCCCACCUGCCAUGCCGGCCUCUCUGUUCUACUGAGAUGGUAGCAACCAGACUUGCCCUGGCUGCUGCCACUGCCUCAUCCCCCUCCAGAAAGCACCAGGCAAUUCCUCUAAAGCUCCCUGGCCCUCCCAGACCCCCGAGGAGGCCAGCCUGGGGUGAGAGCUCAGACCUGCAGCCUGGGACAUGGCCUCACAUCCUCUGCCUUGGAUGCAAGUCGUCAUCAUCAUCAUCUUCAUCAUUUCCAUUACGAGAAGUUACCAAGCUCUUCGUGUGCUGAUCCACAUGAAACUGCAGGUAUUUGAUGAUUUGAGAUUGAUCUGAGAUUCCACAGAGAUCGCAGUUCAACCUGAUCAUACGGUUCGGUUUAGUACUGUGGGUGAAGCUCUUUGCAAAGGAGAGGCAGACAGAGCUGAGAAAUGUGGACUCUGCUGUCAUGCUGUCUAGUGUGGACCUCAGCUCCCCUACCUGCGAGCUGAGCAAUCUUGGGCAAGUUAUGGAACCUCUUUAUGCCUCACUUUCCUCUACAAAAUGGGGAUAAUAUGAAACCUACCCCAUGUGGCUAUGGAGAUACAAGGAGGUGAUUUAUUUAACACGAGUUCAUAUGGUAUUUACUGAAUAGCGGGCCCUGCAAAUGCUUGCCCAGGGCUUUCAGCAGCCCUGUCACAUAGUAAGUGUCCCGUCAAUGUUAGCUUCUGAUGUGCUGGCUCUAUCAAUAUCACUCAGCUGCCCAGAGAGGCAGUAACCAUUGAUAUCCCCAUUUCACAGGUAGGAAAAGCUGAGGCACAGAGUUCAUGGGUUGCUGAAGCUCCUAUUAAAGGGCAGGGUCAGAAUUAGAUCCAGACAGGUUGACCUCUGAAUCUUUCAUCAGUGUGCUUCCUGAACACCCCUGUCCCCAGCUCCCUCUCCUUGGGAGGAAAUGUCUGCUUUGGUUCUUCUCAGAGGUGGCAACUCUAGACUCUGAGUCAGGAAGAGCCUCAGAGCUUGCAUUGAGGCAUUUCCCAUCUGGAUACUGUGUUUGUUCUUGGAAGAGCCUCCUGGAAGCCAGAUCCACACCAUCAAAGAUCCCCAUAUUGGAGGCAACUGCCAGAGACCCAGAGUAAAGGCUCAGCCCCGCCAUUUACUCACUGGGAUACUCUGGGUAAGCCACCUGCCUGAGUCUCCUCACCCUGCAGGGUCGUGGUGAGACAUUAAAAAGACAAGGCAAGAGGAGGCUUUGCAGCCUGCACAGUAAAGAACAGAUGUGAGGUGGGAUUAACGAUCCCUGCUGACAGGCCAAUGGGGAGCCUUCCCUGCAGUCUUGCUGCCGCCCUCUGCUGCAGGAGCGCUAAGGAAAGUUCUUUCCUGAGCAGUGACGGCCAUGGCAAGCAACUGGCUUCCGGCCAAGUCUACCUUCCAUUUGGGCCUUCCCAGGCUCCCAGUCUACCUGGC